Non-coding RNA from Biomphalaria pfeifferi, 441 nucleotides. The record is from the annotation of a GenBank genome assembly. Lineage: Eukaryota; Metazoa; Mollusca; Gastropoda; Planorbidae.
GUAAAAUGCAUCAAAUGUACUUUAUUCAGUCUUAUUAAAAAAGAAACUUGUACAAAUUAAAUUAGUCACAGAAGCUGCACUAACCUCCGAUACUGAUAUGGACAUAUCGCAAUAUUAUUGCUACUAAAACAAAGCACAAUAGCUAUGAUGUCACAACAAUUUUUUUUACUGAUAUUUAGUUUUGUUUGAUGUCAACAUUGAGAAAAAAUAUACAAUAAGCGAUAAAUGAGAUUCAGUGGCUAAUAAAAUAUACACUGUAAAGUCUUAUACACAUUUUAAAUAACACAAGCUAAAACAAAAUGUAUUUCUCUCACACUGAAACUAAAAAAAAGUAUCACAACACUUUAUAAUAGCUUCACAAAGUUAGAGGCAAGGUUAAUCUGAGAAAAAAAAUCUCUCAAGAAAAGAUAUAUAAAUCAGGCAAAAAAAAAAAAAAAAAAA